RNAcentral lists this ribosomal RNA (253 nucleotides) under uncultured bacterium. Its description in RNAcentral is "partial 16S ribosomal RNA". It matches the Rfam family "Bacterial small subunit ribosomal RNA", at positions 524 to 776 of the family's 1533-position model. The record is from RNAcentral.
UACAGAGGUCCCAAGCGUUGUUCGGAUUCACUGGGCGUAAAGGGCGCGCAGGCGGCUCAUUUUGUCAGGCGUGAAAGCCCCGGGCUUAACCUGGGAACUGCGUUUGAUACGGAUGGGCUAGAGUUCGGGAGAGGAGCGUGGAAUUCCCAGUGUAGAGGUGAAAUUCGUAGAUAUCGGGAGGAACACCAGUGGCGAAGGCGGCGACCUGGGCCAAUACUGACGCUGAGGUGCGAAAGCGUGGGGAGCAAACAGG